Molecule: ribosomal RNA, 518 nt
Filed under: uncultured bacterium
Lineage: Bacteria
Description: partial 16S ribosomal RNA
Rfam family: Bacterial small subunit ribosomal RNA
Source: RNAcentral
UCNUCCUGGNGGCAGCAGUNGNGAAUANUGNGCAAUGNUCGGAANCCNCGCAGCGNCGCGCGUGGNGGANGAAGNCNUUCGUUGUAANCNCCUUUUGGCUGNGCNCCUUUUUGGGGUGACGGUAGGAGCAGAAGAAGCGCCGGCCAANUACGUGCCAGCAGCCGCGGUAAGACGUAGGGCGCAAGCGUUGUCCGGAUUUAUUGGGCGUAAAGAGCUCGUAGGCGGCCUGUCGCGUCGAUCGUGAAAUUCCCCGGCUCAACUGUGGGAUUGCGGUCGAUACGGGCAGGCUAGAGUGCGGCAGGGGAGACUGGAAUUCCUGGUGUAGCGGUGAAAUGCGCAGAUAUCAGGAGGAACACCGGUGGCGAAGGCGGGUCUUUGGGCCGUUACUGACGCUGAGGAGCGAAAGCGUGGGGAGCGAACAGGAUUAGAUACCCUGGUAGUCCACGCUGUAAACGUUGGGCGCUAGGUGUGGGGACCCUUCCCGGGUUUCUGUGCCGUAGCUAACGCAUNAAGCNCCC